Molecule: ribosomal RNA, 506 nt
Filed under: uncultured bacterium
Lineage: Bacteria
Description: partial 16S ribosomal RNA
Rfam family: Bacterial small subunit ribosomal RNA
Source: RNAcentral
AGUGAACGCUGGCGGUAGGCCUAACACAUGCAAGUCGAACGGCAGCACAGGAGAGCUUGCUCUCUGGGUGGCGAGUGGCGGACGGGUGAGGAAUACAUCGGAAUCUACUCUGUCGUGGGGGAUAACGUAGGGAAACUUACGCUAAUACCGCAUACGACCUACGGGUGAAAGCAGGGGAUCUUCGGACCUUGCGCGAUUGAAUGAGCCGAUGUCGGAUUAGCUAGUUGGCGGGGUAAAGGCCCACCAAGGCGACGAUCCGUAGCUGGUCUGAGAGGAUGAUCAGCCAACCUAGAACUGAGACACGGUCCAGACUACUACGGGAGGCAGCAGUGGGGAAUAUUGGACGAUGGGCGCAAGCCUGAUCCAGCCAUACCGCGUGGGUGAAGAAGGCCUUCGGGUUGUAAAGCCCUUUUGUUGGGAAAGAAAUCCAGCUGGCUAAUACCCGGUUGGGAUGACGGUACCCAAAGAAUAAGCACCGGCUAACUUCGUACCAGCCGCCGCGGUAA